This 547-nucleotide ribosomal RNA is filed under the name Lactobacillus delbrueckii subsp. bulgaricus. RNAcentral describes it as "bacterial SSU rRNA". It matches the Rfam family "Bacterial small subunit ribosomal RNA", at positions 328 to 863 of the family's 1533-position model. The record is from RNAcentral. Lineage: Bacteria; Bacillati; Bacillota; Bacilli; Lactobacillales; Lactobacillaceae.
AGAGGGGGUCCCUUCGGGGGGGGGCACAGUAGGGAAUCUUCCACAAUGGACGCAAGUCUGAUGGAGCAACGCCGCGUGAGUGAAGAAGGUCUUCGGAUCGUAAAGCUCUGUUGUUGGUGAAGAAGGAUAGAGGCAGUAACUGGUCUUUAUUUGACGGUAAUCAACCAGAAAGUCACGGCUAACUACGUGCCAGCAGCCGCGGUAAUACGUAGGUGGCAAGCGUUGUCCGGAUUUAUUGGGCGUAAAGCGAGCGCAGGCGGAAUGAUAAGUCUGAUGUGAAAGCCCACGGCUCAACCGUGGAACUGCAUCGGAAACUGUCAUUCUUGAGUGCAGAAGAGGAGAGUGGAACUCCAUGUGUAGCGGUGGAAUGCGUAGAUAUAUGGAAGAACACCAGUGGCGAAGGCGGCUCUCUGGUCUGCAACUGACGCUGAGGCUCGAAAGCAUGGGUAGCGAACAGGAUUAGAUACCCUGGUAGUCCAUGCCGUAAACGAUGAGCGCUAGGUGUUGGGGACUUUCCGGUCCUCAGUGCCGCAGCAAACUGCCAAUC